RNAcentral lists this ribosomal RNA (522 nucleotides) under uncultured bacterium. RNAcentral's name for it is "bacterial SSU rRNA". It matches the Rfam family "Bacterial small subunit ribosomal RNA", at positions 777 to 1297 of the family's 1533-position model. The record is from RNAcentral.
AAUAGAUACCCGGGUAGUCCACGCCGUAAACGUUGGGCGCUAGAUGUGGGGACCAUUCCACGGUUUCCGUGUCGCAGCUAACGCAUUAAGCGCCCCGCCUGGGGAGUACGGCCGCAAGGCUAAAACUCAAAGGAAUUGACGGGGGCCCGCACAAGCGGCGGAGCAUGCGGAUUAAUUCGAUGCAACGCGAAGAACCUUACCAAGGCUUGACAUAUACGAGAAUGGGCCAGAAAUGGUCAGCUCUUUGGACACUCGUAUACAGGUGGUGCAUGGUUGUCGUCAGCUCGUGUCGUGAGAUGUUGGGUUAAGUCCCGCAACGAGCGCAACCCUCGUUCUAUGUUGCCAGCACGUAAUGGUGGGAACUCAUAGGAGACUGCCGGGGUCAACUCGGAGGAAGGUGGGGAUGACGUCAAAUCAUCAUGCCCCUUAUGUCUUGGGCUUCACGCAUGCUACAAUGGCCGGUACAAAGGGCUGCAAUACCGCAAGGUGGAGCGAAUCCCAAAAAGCCGGUCUCAGUUCGGA